RNAcentral lists this small nuclear RNA (23 nucleotides) under Arabidopsis thaliana (thale cress). RNAcentral describes it as "snRNA_17918". Lineage: Eukaryota; Viridiplantae; Streptophyta; Magnoliopsida; Brassicales; Brassicaceae. The record is from RNAcentral.
GCUUGGGCGAGAGUAGUACUAGG